UGCCAGACUCCUACGGGAGGCAGCAGUGGGGAAUAUUGCACAAUGGGGGGAACCCUGAUGCAGCGACGCCGCGUGGGUGAGGGAGUACUUCGGUACGUAAAGCCCUAUCAGCAGGAAAGAAAAUGACGGUACCUGACUAAGAAGCCCCGGCUAACUACGUGCCAGCAGCCGCGGUAAUACGUAGGGGGCGAGCGUUAUCCGGAUUCACUGGGCGUAAAGGGAGCGCAGGCGGCACGGCAAGUCCGGUGUGAAAGCCCGGGGCCCAACCCCGGGACUGCACUGGAAACUGCCGGGCUGGAGUGUCGGAGGGGCAGGCGGAAUUCCUAGUGUAGCGGUGAAAUGCGUAGAUAUUAGGAGGAACACCAGUGGCGAAGGCGGCCUACUGGACGGUGACUGACGCUGAGGCUCGAAAGCGUGGGGAGCAAACAGGAUUAGAUACCCUAGUAC
RNAcentral lists this ribosomal RNA (447 nucleotides) under uncultured bacterium. Its description in RNAcentral is "bacterial SSU rRNA". It matches the Rfam family "Bacterial small subunit ribosomal RNA", at positions 329 to 793 of the family's 1533-position model. The record is from RNAcentral.